AACGAACGCUGGCGGCAUGCCUAACACAUGCCAGUCGAACGAGACCUUCGGGUCUAGUGGCGCACGGGUGCGUAACGCGUGGGAACCUGCCCUUAGGUUCGGAACAACUCCCCGAAAGGGGUGCUAAUACCGGAUAAUGUCUUCGGACCAAAGAUUUAUCGCCUUUGGAUGGGCCCGCGUUGGAUUAGCUAGUUGGUAGGGUAAAAGCCUACCAAGGCGACGAUCCAUAGCUGGUCUGAGAGGAUGAUCAGCCACACUGGGACUGAGACACGGCCCAGACUCCUACGGGAGGCAGCAGUGGGGAAUAUUGGACAAUGGGCGAAAGCCUGAUCCAGCAAUGCCGCGUGAGUGAUGAAGGCCUUAGGGUUGUAAAGCUCUUUUACCCGGGAUGAUAAUGACAGUACCGGGAGAAUAAGCUCCGGCUAACUCCGUG
RNAcentral lists this ribosomal RNA (433 nucleotides) under uncultured bacterium. Its description in RNAcentral is "partial 16S ribosomal RNA". It matches the Rfam family "Bacterial small subunit ribosomal RNA", at positions 29 to 507 of the family's 1533-position model. The record is from RNAcentral.